This 119-nucleotide ribosomal RNA is filed under the name Lepisosteus oculatus (spotted gar). The record is from RNAcentral. Lineage: Eukaryota; Metazoa; Chordata; Actinopteri; Semionotiformes; Lepisosteidae.
GCCAGUAGCCAUAUCACCCAGCAACUCACAUCUGACAACCCACUGAAGCUAGGCAGCUGUGAGCCUGGUCAGUACCUGAAUGGGAGACCUCCUGGGAAAAGCUCAGGCUGCUGCUGGUG